RNAcentral lists this ribosomal RNA (468 nucleotides) under uncultured bacterium. RNAcentral's name for it is "partial 16S ribosomal RNA". It matches the Rfam family "Bacterial small subunit ribosomal RNA", at positions 28 to 507 of the family's 1533-position model. The record is from RNAcentral.
GACGAACGCUGGCGGCGUGCUUAACACAUGCAAGUCGAACGGAAAAGCCCUACCUUGCUGGAGUGGAUGAGUGGCGAACGGGUGAGUAACACGUGAGCAACCUGCCCUUGACUUUGGGAUAAGCUCUGGAAACGGCGUCUAAUACUGGAUACGAGAAGGGUCCGCAUGGGCAGGGUCGGGAAGUUUUUGCGGUUGGGGAUGGGCUCGCGGCUUAUCAGCUUGUUGGUGGGGUAGUGGCUUACCAAGGCUUCGACGGGUAGCCGGCCUGAGAGGGCGACCGGCCACAAUGGGACUGAGAGACGGCCCAGACUCCUACGGGAGGCAGCAGUGGGGAAUAUUGCACAAUGGGCGAAAGCCUGAUGCAGCGACGCCGCGUGCGGGAUGACGGCCUUCGGGUUGUAAACCGCUUUCGGCUGGGACGAAGCGAAAGUGACGGUACCUGCAGAAGAAGCACCGGCUAACUACGUG